Long non-coding RNA from Centruroides sculpturatus (bark scorpion), 820 nucleotides. RefSeq lists it as uncharacterized. The transcript is spliced from 6 exons. The record is from RefSeq and is a predicted model, not a curated record. Lineage: Eukaryota; Metazoa; Arthropoda; Arachnida; Scorpiones; Buthidae.
UCUUAGAAUUAGUAUUUAAGGAAAUAAUUUUUGACUAUAUUAUUUAUUAAAAUGUGUAAAUUCAUAAAAUUUGACUUUUUUCCACAACUUGAUAAUUUAGUUUUGUCUUUUAUGAUGCCUGGACAAUGGAUAUAUUUGAUUUUUACAUAAAUUUUAAUUUGGUGACCAAAGGUGCUUUGGCAGUUUUUAUUAGAAUAGGAAUUAAAUGGAGAAUAUAUCUACUAAAAUAAAAGUAUUACAAGAAGGAUCAUCUAUCCUCUGCAAUAGUAAAGUUGAGGCUUUCAUGGUGCACUAAACAUAUGCCAAAGAUUGCCAUUGUGGUAUUAGAUAUGAAUAAAAAGAAAAUUCCAUUUGUGAUGUCACAAAAUUAAAGAAUUCAUGCUGAAACAGCUGAAGUAAAAUCAUCUAAACAAAGCUGAUGAAGUGUAAGAAACUGAAAAAAUGUUUCAACUUAAAAAAUAUUCAGGGUUUACACAAUGCUAAUCUGUACACAAGGUAAAAUUUUUAAUACUUUUUUUUAUUCAUACUAUCAAAAUGCUGUUUUAAAUAAUAAACAAAAUUUAUAAUUGAUUAUCAAAAAUUAUUACUGAUGAAAUUUUUGUACUAAAUUACCAAUGAAAUUUAAAAUAAGUAGAAAUAUGAUGAUAAAAUUAAUGGAAUUACCGUUUGAAUCCAAUGAUAGUUUAUUGGCUGCUAUUCUUUCUGAACAUAAGCUUACUUUUUAUUAUUAGAUUAUUAUGAGUAGUAUACGUAUGACACAUACUAAUCACAAAAUUAUUUAAUUUUUUAAAUUGUUUCAUAUAAACUUUAAUAUAUGGUA